ACCGAUUCCUUUCUCUCUUUAAUUCUGAUCGGAACAUAUGGGAAGGCAAAAAGGAAAUGUUAUCAAUUCCUUUCAAGCUGUUUUGGGAGUGGCUGUGAUAAAUUGUUGAUGGUUAAAUACAUCAAUUCUGUUACAACAGAUAACUUUCACUUAAAUAAGGCAUGCCAAACAUGCAUGGAAAUUGAUGUGAUGGACAUGUGCAUUAAAUGGACAGAUAUAUGUUAUCGUUUAAAUUCGUGCGGAUUAAGAAAUACAGUGAUAAGCAAGUUUAUUUUACCUGCAAGCGAGGAGCAGGUCUGCU
RNAcentral lists this unclassified non-coding RNA (301 nucleotides) under Zea mays. RNAcentral describes it as "misc RNA Zm00001eb191280". Lineage: Eukaryota; Viridiplantae; Streptophyta; Magnoliopsida; Poales; Poaceae. The record is from RNAcentral.